UGGGGAAUAUUGCACAAUGGGCGAAAGCCUGAUGCAGCAACGCCGCGUGAGUGAUGAAGGUCUUCGGAUUGUAAAGCUCCGUCUUUUGGGACGAUAAUGACGGUACCAAAGGAGGAAGCCACGGCUAACUACGUGCCAGCAGCCGCGGUAAUACGUAGGUGGCGAGCGUUGUCCGGAUUUACUGGGCGUAAAGGGUGCGUAGGCGGAUGUUUAAGUGAGAUGUGAAAUACCCGGGCUUAACUUGGGUGCUGCAUUUCAAACUGGAUAUCUAGAGUGCAGGAGAGGAGAAUGGAAUUCCUAGUGUAGCGGUGAAAUGCGUAGAGAUUAGGAAGAACACCAGUGGCGAAGGCGAUUCUCUGGACUGUAACUGACGCUGAGGCACGAAAGCGUGGGUAGCAAACAGGAUUAGAUACCCUGGUAGUCCACGCCGUAAACGAUGAGUACUAGGUGUAGGAGGUAUCGACCCCUUCUGUGCCGCAGUAAAACACAUUAAAGUACUCCGCCUGGGAAGUACGAUCGCA
This 521-nucleotide ribosomal RNA is filed under the name uncultured bacterium. Its description in RNAcentral is "partial 16S ribosomal RNA". It matches the Rfam family "Bacterial small subunit ribosomal RNA", at positions 355 to 890 of the family's 1533-position model. The record is from RNAcentral.